CCGGAUCGGUCCAGGCCACCACAGGCGGACGGGGAGCACCGGAGCCGGAGGAGGUGGCCGUGCUGUCGUGGGACAUCGUGAGGAGCUGCUCCGCCUCGGCGAUCUGACGGGCCAAGAUGUCGGCCGCAUCCCGCUCCCGCUCCCAGGCCAGGGCUGCCGCGCGCAGGCGCGCCUGUCCCUCGGCAGCGGCAGCCCGGGCAGCGACGAGGGCUGUCGCGAGGUUCCCAUCCGGAGGUGGUAGAGGAGGCGGGGCGGGGAAAGGUAGGCGAGCAGCCCCUCCCCCCACAGGAGCAGCUGCCACCCCUGUAAAAACAGGGGCAGCAGUCCCCCCCACCCCCGGUUGAAAACCAGGGGCAGGAGGCGUCGGGUAGAGGGCGGCGGCGGCGGCGGCGGCGGCGGCGGCGGCGGCGGCGGCAGCGGCGUCCCCGCCGGCCUGCGCGCCCGCGCGCUCGCCCGCGCGCUCGCCCGCGCGGCGAGCCGCAGCGGCAGCGGCGGCGGCGGCGUCCCCGCCGGCCUGCACGCCCGCGCGCUCGCCCGCGCGCUCGCCCGCGCGGCGAGCAGCGGCGGCGGCGGCGGCGGCGGCGUCCCCGCCCGCGUGCUCGCCCGCGCGCUCGCCCGCGCGGCGAGCCGCAGCGGCGGCGGCGGCGGCGGCGGCGGCUGCGGGAUCCGCGCCGUCCGCCGCCCCGUCGGCGGCGGCGGCGGCGGCAGGGCCCGCCCCGACGGCCGCCAGAGCCGCGGCCGCAGGGGGCCGGUCGGCGGCCGCCACCUGCGCCC
This 774-nucleotide long non-coding RNA is filed under the name Setaria italica (foxtail millet). RNAcentral's name for it is "long non-coding RNA (SITA_LNC005295)". Lineage: Eukaryota; Viridiplantae; Streptophyta; Magnoliopsida; Poales; Poaceae. The record is from RNAcentral.